GGAAGUAAAAGUCGUAACAAAGUUUCCGUAGGUGAACCUGCGGAAGGAUCAUUCAUAAUAAGUGUUUUACUGCACUUUUUAAAAAUAGUACUCACCUUGUUUACAAUGUUGUGUUUCUUUUCGGAGAAAGACUUACGCCAACCUAUAACCUUGAACCACUUUGUCUGAGAAACUAUGACGAAUACUUAAUACAAAAUACAACUUUCAACAACGGAUCUCUUGGCUCUC
RNAcentral lists this unclassified non-coding RNA (228 nucleotides) under plant metagenome. RNAcentral's name for it is "partial contains small subunit ribosomal RNA, internal transcribed spacer 1, and 5.8S ribosomal RNA". The stretch from base 1 to 54 matches the Rfam family "Eukaryotic small subunit ribosomal RNA", at positions 1778 to 1831 of the family's 1831-position model. The record is from RNAcentral.